GUCUGCAAAACAUUAAACAUCUAUGAAGAUCACAAGCUCCAUGAAUUCAAACAAAAUUCUUUAAUUAAAUUUUUAUUGAUUUUUUCUCACUUUUUGUUGGAUCAUAUUAUCCCAAGCCUUGCCAGUGAGAGAGUAACGGAUGGUGAACUUGAGAAUGUCAAGAGGAAUGUAGGUAAUGAUACUGUAUAACCAUAUGACUCCAGCCCAUCCCCAUCCACAACCUAGGAUCCUUGCAAAUCCCCAGUUUGCAUACACAGCGAUCAAUGUAGCAACCUUACUCGUUGAACAAGAUAAACACAAGUUUCAUACUAACAAUAAAAUGUAAAUAAAAAUGGUUAGGAAUAUGGUAACAAGACAAUCUUCUCACCAGCUGUGCUAUAACAAAGGCUAUAAGGAGCAAAAACCCAGGACGUUCGACAAAUGACCAACUCCUUGAUCUGGUGACAAAAAUAAGUGCUUGGCUUAUGAUGCUCACUUGAAGGUACAGAGCUGCCAUAAGCUCUUCCUCAUUCUCUUGAAUGGACCUCACACCAAAUGUUUUCUGAAGCUUUCCACAGGUGCUCGUACUCGAAUGCGGGGUGAGAUUCAGGCUUGUCGACCAUAUGGGGAGCCGGAUGAGACUCAUGACCGCCAGAGCCAUGCGAACACUUACGAUUAACAGAAGCGGUUAAAAAUAAAAUGCCUCAAUAUUUUAAAUUACAAUAAUAAAAUACUAUUAUUAUAUAGUAAAAGGUCAACAAACUAAAUAUUCAUUCUAAAUUUUUAAAUAUAACUUUUUGUUCUUUUUUACAAAACUGAUAACCAAAUUUUCAAAUGCUUAUGAAUCUUUUUUGAAUGAAAAAGUAGCUAAUAUUACUUAUUUUUUUCUUAUCUUAUUUUAUAAUAUUAGUUGUUUUUAUUAUUUAUUUUUAUCUGCUUAUUUUACUAUUAUAACUACUAAAAUAUCACUAAAUAGUCAUAAAAACAUUAUAACCACAUGUACACAACAAUCAUUAUCUUCAUCUAGCCCGUAUUAAGCAUAUCCAUUAAAUAUAAAACUUCUAACAUAAACCAUACUAGAUUUUGAUCCGCGCUUUCAAAGCGCGGAUAUUUUUUUUUUUCAAGUGACAAAUAUUUAGUAGAUGUCAUAUUUAAAUAAAUUUGUGUUUUAUUUUAUAAAAGACUUAAUCUUUUUAUUUUUAUUUAUCUUAUUUUAUUUUAAAUGACUAUUUAUGUUUAAAAGAUUAAAUUUUAUUUCUUUAAUAAAUUAAGUUGGUAUAACUCUGGUAAAUUAAUUUUAUUAUGUGGUUAGCGAAAGCUUCAAAUUCUACCACGGCUCUGAUAUUGACCACUUGUUCUUCGCAUGUCCAUACUAGGAUUGAUAAUACUGGCUCUCUACUUGGUCGACCUAACCUUGACUAGAGUAUAACAACCACAAAGCUUCCAAGAUUGUGAGAUCACUAGACAAAACUUCAUAAACUGUUUUGUCAUUCUAUCAUCCUCACUUCAGUUAUGUAAGUAUUGUUCUUCUGUUUUUUGUCUAUAAAUUAAACCUUUGUUUUAAGAAAAUCGUUUUUCCAGUAUCCGGUUUCUAAAGCACUUAAUUAACCUCUAAACAAAUAAUAUUUUUUUUUUAAGUAACUAGGUUUUAUUAUAUUUCAACAAACGGAAAAACAUAUUUUAUCUCUCUUUUUUCUCUCUUUUUGUUACAUAUAGUUUAAAAACAAUACAAGUGGAGUACAUAGCUCACUUUGUUGAUUUGAACUCAUGGAAAGUAGAAUGCAAGAAAUGGCUAGACAGUGUAGUGUUGUUGAAUGGUAUCAAUGUCAAGCCCCUUCAGCUUCACUACAGAUUCAACGUGGCCGAAGAAAGUGUGGACACCAGUGGCUAUGACAACGGCCUCAAUCUCACCUUGUUUGCAAGUUGAACCCGAGAAUACUUCAUCUCCAGGGUGUUUGGUGACUGGAAGAGAUUCACCGGUGAGAGCAGAUUGGUCAAUUUUCAGAGGAUCUCCUUGGAGGAGACGAGCAUCAGCAGGGACAAUGUCACCCAGUUUGACGCUUAUUAGUGCGCUGAGCUAAUGCCCAUUGAGCCUCCCUCUCUCCUUUGCCGUAAUCUUUCUUUGUUGUAAAGGCGGUCUGCAAAACAUUAAACAUCUAUGAAGAUCACAAGCUCCAUGAAUUCAAACAAAAUUCUUUAAUUAAAUUUUUAUUGAUUUUUUCUCACUUUUUGUUGGAUCAUAUUAUCCCAAGCCUUGCCAGUGAGAGAGUAACGGAUGGUGAACUUGAGAAUGUCAAGAGGAAUGUAGGUAAUGAUACUGUAUAACCAUAUGACUCCAGCCCAUCCCCAUCCACAACCUAGGAUCCUUGCAAAUCCCCAGUUUGCAUACACAGCGAUCAAUGUAGCAACCUUACUCGUUGAACAAG
This 2405-nucleotide long non-coding RNA is filed under the name Brassica napus (rape). RNAcentral's name for it is "long non-coding RNA (BNAP_LNC001254)". The record is from RNAcentral. Lineage: Eukaryota; Viridiplantae; Streptophyta; Magnoliopsida; Brassicales; Brassicaceae.